UACGUAGGGUGCAAGCGUUAAUCGGAAUUACUGGGCGUAAAGCGUGCGCAGGCGGUUUUGUAAGUCUGUCGUGAAAUCCCCGGGCUCAACCUGGGAAUUGCGAUGGAGACUGCAAGGCUAGAAUCUGGCAGAGGGGGGUAGAAUUCCACGUGUGAGCAGUCGAAAUGCGUAGAGAUGUGGAGGAACACCGAUGGCGAAGGCAGCCCCCUGGG
Molecule: ribosomal RNA, 212 nt
Filed under: uncultured bacterium
Lineage: Bacteria
Description: partial 16S ribosomal RNA
Rfam family: Bacterial small subunit ribosomal RNA
Source: RNAcentral